This 301-nucleotide ribosomal RNA is filed under the name uncultured bacterium. RNAcentral describes it as "partial 16S ribosomal RNA". It matches the Rfam family "Bacterial small subunit ribosomal RNA", at positions 509 to 807 of the family's 1533-position model. The record is from RNAcentral.
CAGCCGCCACGGUAAUACGUAGGGUGCAAGCGUUAAUCGGAAUUACUGGGCGUAAAGCGUGCGCAGGCGGUGAGUUAAGUCUGCUGUGAAAUCCCCGGGCUCAACCUGGGAAUGGCAGUGGAUACUGGCUCGCUAGAGUGUGUCAGAGGAUGGUGGAAUUCCCGGUGUAGAGGUGAAAUUCGUAGAUAUUGGGAAGAACACCGGUGGCGAAGGCGGCAACCUGGCUCAUUACUGACGCUGAGGCGCGAAAGCGUGGGGAGCGAACAGGAUUAGAUACCCCUGUAGUCCCUGUCUCUUAUAC